RNAcentral lists this ribosomal RNA (327 nucleotides) under uncultured Leptolinea sp. RNAcentral describes it as "bacterial SSU rRNA". It matches the Rfam family "Bacterial small subunit ribosomal RNA", at positions 1041 to 1382 of the family's 1533-position model. The record is from RNAcentral. Lineage: Bacteria; Bacillati; Chloroflexota; Anaerolineae; Anaerolineales; Anaerolineaceae.
CUGCAUGGCUGUCGUCAGCUCGUGUCGUGAGAUGUUCGGUUAAGUCCGCUAACGAGCGCAACCCUCGCUGUGUGUUAUAUGUGUCACACGGGACUGCCGGUCUUAAGCCGGAGGAAGGUGGGGAUGAUGUCAAGUCAGCAUGGCCUUUAUAUCCUGGGCUACACACACGCUACAAUGGCCAACACAAUAGGUUGCUAAGCCGCGAGGUGGCGCCAAUCCAUAAAGUUGGUCUCAGUUCAGAUUGUAGGCUGCAACCCGCCUGCAUGAAGAUGGAGUUGCUAGUAACCGCAGGUCAGCUAUACUGCGGUGAAUACGUUCCCGGGGCUU